GGCGGCGUGCUUAACACAUGCAAGUGAACCGGAGUUACGUAUGAAGUAUUUCGGUACGGACUAUGUAACUUAGUGGCGAACGGGUGAGUAACACGUGGGUAAUCUACCCUCGGGAUCGGGAUAACCUCGCGAAAGUGGGGAUAAUACCGAAUAAAGUCUCGGUAUAAUUUGUCGAGAUGAAAGAUGGGGAUCUUCGGACCUAUUACCUGAGGAUGAGCCUGCGCCUGAUUAGCUAGUUGGUAGGGUAAAUGCCUACCAAGGCAACGAUCAGUAGCUGGUCUGAGAGGAUGAUCAGCCACAUUGGGACUGAGAUACGGCCCAGACUCCUACGGGAGGCAGCAGUGAGGAAUUUUGCGCAAUGGGCGAAAGCCUGACGCAGCAACGCCGCGUGACUGAUUAAGCUCUGAGGAGUGUAAAAGUCUGUCGUAGAGGAAGAAACUAUCCGAUAAGAAUAUUGUCGGAUACUGACGGUACUCUAUGAGAAAGCUCCGGCUAACUCCGUG
Molecule: ribosomal RNA, 503 nt
Filed under: uncultured bacterium
Lineage: Bacteria
Description: bacterial SSU rRNA
Rfam family: Bacterial small subunit ribosomal RNA
Source: RNAcentral